Non-coding RNA from Caenorhabditis elegans, 131 nucleotides. The record is from Ensembl. Lineage: Eukaryota; Metazoa; Nematoda; Chromadorea; Rhabditida; Rhabditidae.
GUUGAAAAACUGCAGAAUCGUCGGUGCGUGUGAGGGUGGGGGUACCUCUCAUUUUCUUUCUUUGAUCGACCAAAAAAAAAUGGAAAAGACGAAGAAGACAUAUAAAACCAGUUCGGUUAAAUCGUUGGGCC